Molecule: unclassified non-coding RNA, 715 nt
Filed under: Hevea brasiliensis (rubber tree)
Lineage: Eukaryota; Viridiplantae; Streptophyta; Magnoliopsida; Malpighiales; Euphorbiaceae
Source: RNAcentral
UUAUUUUUUUUUAAAUAAUCAAGCCUUAAACUGAUUUGGUUCUGUUCAUUUUUGCUUUUCUCCUUAUUUGGAUUGGGCUGGGAUCCUAUUGUGUCUGGUUCCUGUUCUAAGCAAUUCAAUCUUAGGUACCUACAAGUUCUCCAAAUGAACUAUAAUGGUUGAUGCAAAAAAGAACAAUAGAUUUUAAUUCAUGAUAUGUAGAAAUUGGAAUAUUACUCCAAUAAUCAAUUAUACAGUUUAAUAAAGAAUAAGGGAAAUCAUAAUGCUAAGAUAAGUGCUACAACAAUUUUGGGUGAGAAAUCUCAAAGAGCAAAAUCUGCACGUGCACCAUCAAAAAGAACUUGUGUGCGUUAUGAUAACAAAACCACUUUUAUGCAACCAACAAAAAAUAACCAGCCUUUUAAUUAGGUGCCCUAAAUCUAUUCAAAAUAGGCCAAAUUUUCAACUGAAUAAAUGACAAUUCAAUCAUUUAACUUACUCCAUUGUUAGUUUUUGAUGAAUUUUUCCUGUCGUAAAUUUGCACCAUCGGGUUGCCAUAGGUUUGCACUAAUAUAAUCGAGCACAUAAAGCAGAAUGGUGACAAAAUUCAAUUGAAAAAAAAGCUCAGAGUAAUUGAAGCUUAUCAUGACAAGUACCUGAAAAUUUGCCCCGAGACAUUUUGGGAUUUGAAUCAGAGUAAUAAUUGAGUCGCAGAGGAUCAAAUUUUCAUUUUGGG